UGAAAUUAAAAGUUAUUUAUCAGUAUUAGAAAUUGAGAGGGACGUGAAAUUAUUAUAUAUCUAGGCUCAUUCAGAUGAAUUCAGUGACAUUCAUAAGUUCUGAUAUUAAAUAAGAGGACAACACAAAGCAAUUACAUCAAAUCCCAACGAUCUAAGUUUGAGAAGUUAGAUGACAUACAACGAUUGUAGUCUUUGACCUGAAAACAGCAGAUUUUUCCAGCACACCUCCAGAUGAUUCACAGCUUAUGCUCCAAAUGAGAUGACCAAUCUUGCUAACUACCUCGGCAUUGUUUCUUUAAUAAUUGUUGCUCGUAUCUUCUAGUCCACUGGAACCUCUACUUCCAUCUUCAAACCAGAGUUUCCGAGUAUCUGAUACAGAACAAAAUCAUGUAUGAUGAAUAUGCUUCUUGAACAAAUUCACAUGUAUAAAACAUAAAUGACAAUUGUUUCAUACGUAUCUUAUUUCUGACAACAAAAAAGUACAUUUACUUAUGAUUGUAAUGAGAAUUUUCCAAAAUCCCAAAAUUUGUUCAGCUAGUUGUAACAGAGUCCAUUUAAAUAGUUUGGUCUUAGAAACCAUUCCAACAUAAACUGCUUCCGG
RNAcentral lists this long non-coding RNA (601 nucleotides) under Citrus maxima (pomelo). RNAcentral's name for it is "long non-coding RNA (CMAX_LNC001203)". Lineage: Eukaryota; Viridiplantae; Streptophyta; Magnoliopsida; Sapindales; Rutaceae. The record is from RNAcentral.